RNAcentral lists this ribosomal RNA (475 nucleotides) under uncultured cyanobacterium. RNAcentral describes it as "bacterial SSU rRNA". It matches the Rfam family "Bacterial small subunit ribosomal RNA", at positions 1 to 524 of the family's 1533-position model. Lineage: Bacteria; Bacillati; Cyanobacteriota. The record is from RNAcentral.
UAGAGUUUGAUUAUGGCUCAGGAUGAACGCUGGCGGUAUGCUUAACACAUGCAAGUCGAACGGAGUUCUUCGGAACUUAGUGGCGGACGGGUGAGUAACGCGUGAGAAUCUGGCAAAAGGUUCGGGACAACAGUUGGAAACGACUGCUAAUACCGGAUGUGCCUGUGGGUGGAAGAUUAAUCGCCUUUUGAUGAGCUCGCGUCUGAUUAGCUAGUAGGUGUGGUAAGAGCGCACCUAGGCGACGAUCAGUAGCUGGUCUGAGAGGAUGACCAGCCACACUGGGACUGAGACACGGCCCAGACUCCUACGGGAGGCAGCAGUGGGGAAUUUUCCGCAAUGGGCGAAAGCCUGACGGAGCAAUACCGCGUGAGGGAGGAAGGCUCUUGGGUUGUAAACCUCUUUUCUCAGGGAAUAAGAAAGUGAAGGUACCUGAGGAAUCAGCACCGGCUAACUCCGUGCCAGCGGCCGCGGUAAU